GACGAACGCUGGCGGCGUGCCUAAUACAUGCAAGUCGAGCGAAUCUCUGAAGGAGCUUGCUCCUGAUGAGGUUAGCGGCGGACGGGUGAGUAACACGUAGGCAACCUGCCUGCAAGCCUGGGAUAACAUCCGGAAACGGAUGCUAAGACCGGAUACGCAGCUUGGUCGCAUGACCGAGCUGGGAAAGACGAAGCAAUCUGACGCUUGCGGAUGGGCCUGCGGCGCAUUAGCUAGUUGGUGAGGUAACGGCCCACCAAGGCUACGAUGCGUAGCCGAACAGAGAGGGUGGACGACCACACUGGGGCUGAGACACGGCCCAGACUCCGACGGGAGGCAGCAGUAGGGAAUCUUCGACAAGGGACGCAAGCCUGAUGGAGCAACGCCGCGUGAGUGAGGGAGGCCUUCGGGUCGUAAAGCUCUGUUGCCAGGGAAGAACGCCUAAGAGAGUAACUGCUCUUAGGGUGACGGUACCUGAGAAGAAAGCCCCGGCUAACUACGUGCCAGCAGCCGCGGUAA
Molecule: ribosomal RNA, 516 nt
Filed under: uncultured bacterium
Lineage: Bacteria
Description: partial 16S ribosomal RNA
Rfam family: Bacterial small subunit ribosomal RNA
Source: RNAcentral